GACGAACGCUGGCGGCGUGCUUAACACAUGCAAGUCGAGCGGUAAGGCCCUUUCGGGGGUACACGAGCGGCGAACGGGUGAGUAACACGUGGGUGACCUGCCCUCAGCUCUGGGAUAAGCCUGGGAAACCGGGUCUAAUACUGGAUAUGACUCCAUGACGCAUGUUGUGGGGUGGAAAGCCUUGUGCGGCUGAGGAUGGGCCCGCGGCCUAUCGGCUUGUUGGUGGGGUGAUGGCCUACCAAGGCGACGACGGGUAGCCGGCCUGAGAGGGCGACCGGCCACACUGGGACUGAGACACGGCCCAGACUCCUACGGGAGGCAGCAGUGGGGAAUCUUGCGCAAUGGGCGAAAGCCUGACGCAGCGACGCCGCGUGAGGGAUGACGGCCUGGUU
RNAcentral lists this ribosomal RNA (392 nucleotides) under uncultured bacterium. RNAcentral's name for it is "bacterial SSU rRNA". It matches the Rfam family "Bacterial small subunit ribosomal RNA", at positions 28 to 424 of the family's 1533-position model. The record is from RNAcentral.